This 42-nucleotide ribosomal RNA is filed under the name Cylindrocarpon sp. PB1-R1-B Lr. Its description in RNAcentral is "partial 17S ribosomal RNA". Lineage: Eukaryota; Fungi; Ascomycota; Sordariomycetes; Hypocreales; Nectriaceae. The record is from RNAcentral.
GGAAGUAAAAAGUGUAACAAGGUCUCCGUUGGUGAACCAGCG